UACGUAGGGUGCGAGCGUUGUCCGGAAUUAUUGGGCGUAAAGAGCUCGUAGGCGGUGUGUCACGUCGGCCGUGAAAACCUGCAGCUUAACUGUGGGCGUGCGGUCGAUACGGGCAUCACUGGAGUUCGGCAGGGGAGACUGGAAUUCCUGGUGUAGCGGUGAAAUGCGCAGAUAUCAGGAGGAACACCGGUGGCGAAGGCGGGUCUCUGGGCCGAUACUGACGAUCAGGUGCGAAAGCGUGGGGAGCAAACAGG
Molecule: ribosomal RNA, 254 nt
Filed under: uncultured bacterium
Lineage: Bacteria
Description: partial 16S ribosomal RNA
Rfam family: Bacterial small subunit ribosomal RNA
Source: RNAcentral